RNAcentral lists this ribosomal RNA (465 nucleotides) under uncultured Klebsiella sp. Its description in RNAcentral is "bacterial SSU rRNA". It matches the Rfam family "Bacterial small subunit ribosomal RNA", at positions 338 to 795 of the family's 1533-position model. The record is from RNAcentral. Lineage: Bacteria; Pseudomonadati; Pseudomonadota; Gammaproteobacteria; Enterobacterales; Enterobacteriaceae.
CCUACGGGGGGCAGCAGUGGGGAAUAUUGCACAAUGGGCGCAAGCCUGAUGCAGCCAUGCCGCGUGUGUGAAGAAGGCCUUCGGGUUGUAAAGCACUUUCAGCGGGGAGGAAGGCGUUAAGGUUAAUAACCUUGUCGAUUGACGUUACCCGCAGAAGAAGCACCGGCUAACUCCGUGCCAGCAGCCGCGGUAAUACGGAGGGUGCAAGCGUUAAUCGGAAUUACUGGGCGUAAAGCGCACGCAGGCGGUCUGUCAAGUCGGAGGUGAAAUCCCCGGGCUCAACCUGGGAACUGCAUUCGAAACUGGCAGGCUAGAGUCUUGUAGAGGGGGGUAGAAUUCCAGGUGUAGCGGUGAAAUGCGGAGAGAUCUGGAGGAAUACCGGUGGCGAAGGCGGCCCCCUGGACAAAGACUGACGCUCAGGUGCGAAAGCGUGGGGAGCAAACAGGAUUAGAUACCCUAGUAGUC